This is a non-coding RNA of Brachypodium distachyon (stiff brome), 136 nucleotides long. The record is from Rfam. Lineage: Eukaryota; Viridiplantae; Streptophyta; Magnoliopsida; Poales; Poaceae.
AAUCUACUCUCUCCGUCCAAUAAAAGAUGUCUCAAGUUUGUCAAAAUUUGGAUGUAUCUAAACAUGACUUAGUGCACAGAUGCAUUCAAAUUUAAUCAAAAUUGAGACAUCCUUUGUUGAAUGGAGGAAGUAUCAA